This 468-nucleotide ribosomal RNA is filed under the name uncultured bacterium. RNAcentral describes it as "partial 16S ribosomal RNA". It matches the Rfam family "Bacterial small subunit ribosomal RNA", at positions 28 to 507 of the family's 1533-position model. The record is from RNAcentral.
GACGAACGCUGGCGGCGUGCUUAACACAUGCAAGUCGAACGGAAAGGCCCUGCUCUUGUGGGGUGCUCGAGUGGCGAACGGGUGAGUAACACGUGAGUAACCUGCCCUUGACUUUGGGAUAACUUCAGGAAACUGGGGCUAAUACCGGAUAGGAGCUCCUGCUGCAUGGUGGGCGUUGGAAAGUUCCGGCGGUUGGGGAUGGACUCGCGGCUUAUCAGCUUGUUUGUGGGGUAGUGGCUUACCAAGGCUUUGACGGGUAGCCGGCCUGAGAGGGUGACCGGCCACAUUGGGACUGAGAUACGGCCCAGACUCCUACGGGAGGCAGCAGUGGAGAAUAUUGCACAAUGGGCGGAAGCGUGAUGCAGCAACGCCGCGUGCGGGAUGACGGCCUUCGGGUUGUAAACCGCUUUCGACUGUGACGAAGUGUGAGUGACGGUAAUGGGUAAAGAAGCACCGGCUAACUACGUG